RNAcentral lists this ribosomal RNA (647 nucleotides) under uncultured bacterium. RNAcentral's name for it is "bacterial SSU rRNA". It matches the Rfam family "Bacterial small subunit ribosomal RNA", at positions 110 to 753 of the family's 1533-position model. The record is from RNAcentral.
GUAAUAUAUCGGAACGUGCCCAGUCGUGGGGGAUAACGUAGCGAAAGUUACGCUAAUACCGCAUACGAUCUAUGGAUGAAAGCGGGGGACCGUAAGGCCUCGCGCGAUUGGAGCGGCCGAUAUCAGAUUAGGUAGUUGGUGGGGUAAAGGCUCACCAAGCCAACGAUCUGUAGCUGGUCUGAGAGGACGACCAGCCACACUGGAACUGAGACACGGUCCAGACUCCUACGGGAGGCAGCAGUGGGGAAUUUUGGACAAUGGACGCAAGUCUGAUCCAGCCAUUCCGCGUGCAGGAUGAAGGCCCUCGGGUUGUAAACUGCUUUUGUACGGAACGAAAAGGUCUCUAUUAAUACUAGGGGCUCAUGAUGGUACCGUAAGAAUAAGCACCGGCUAACUACGUGCCAGCAGCCGCGGUAAUACGUAGGGUGCAAGCGUUAAUCGGAAUUACUGGGCGUAAAGCGUGCGCAGGCGGUUAUGUAAGACAGAGGUGAAAUCCCCGGGCUCAACCUGGGAACUGCCUUUGUGACUGCAUAGCUAGAGUACGGUAGAGGGGGAUGGAAUUCCGCGUGUAGCAGUGAAAUGCGUAGAUAUGCGGAGGAACACCGAUGGCGAAGGCAAUCCCCUGGACCUGUACUGACGCUCAUGCA